This 72-nucleotide transfer RNA is filed under the name Bacteroidales bacterium. Its description in RNAcentral is "tRNA-Met". It matches the Rfam family "tRNA". From Rfam's summary of the family: Transfer RNA (tRNA) molecules are approximately 80 nucleotides in length. Their secondary structure includes four short double-helical elements and three loops (D, anti-codon, and T loops). Lineage: Bacteria; Pseudomonadati; Bacteroidota; Bacteroidia; Bacteroidales. The record is from RNAcentral. RNAcentral also lists the same sequence under 1 other name.
CGCGGAGUAGAGCAGUGGUAGCUCGUCGGGCUCAUAACCCGGAGGUCGCAGGUUCGAAUCCUGUCUCCGCAA